CAGUAGCCGCGGGAAUACGAGGGGGGCAAGCGUUGUUCGGAAUUAUUGGGCGUAAAGGGUGCGUAGGCGGUUUGACAAGUCUUAUGUGAAAUCUUCGGGCUCAACCCGAAGUCUGCAUGAGAAACUGUCGGGCUUGAGUAUGGGAGAGGUGAGUGGAAUUUCCGGUGUAGCGGUGAAAUGCGUAGAUAUCGGAAGGAACACCUGUGGCGAAAGCGGCUCACUGGACCAUAACUGACGCUGAUGCACGAAAGCUAGGGGAGCAAACAGGAUUAGAUACCCCAGUAGUCCCUGUCUCUUAUAC
This 301-nucleotide ribosomal RNA is filed under the name uncultured bacterium. Its description in RNAcentral is "partial 16S ribosomal RNA". It matches the Rfam family "Bacterial small subunit ribosomal RNA", at positions 509 to 807 of the family's 1533-position model. The record is from RNAcentral.